RNAcentral lists this ribosomal RNA (34 nucleotides) under Neofusicoccum parvum. RNAcentral describes it as "partial 18S ribosomal RNA". Lineage: Eukaryota; Fungi; Ascomycota; Dothideomycetes; Botryosphaeriales; Botryosphaeriaceae. The record is from RNAcentral.
GAUUUCCGUAGGUGAACCUGCGGAAGGAUCAUUA